This 19-nucleotide ribosomal RNA is filed under the name Senecio eremophilus. RNAcentral's name for it is "partial 25S ribosomal RNA". The record is from RNAcentral. Lineage: Eukaryota; Viridiplantae; Streptophyta; Magnoliopsida; Asterales; Asteraceae.
GCGACCCAGGUCAGCGGGA